This 253-nucleotide ribosomal RNA is filed under the name uncultured bacterium. Its description in RNAcentral is "partial 16S ribosomal RNA". It matches the Rfam family "Bacterial small subunit ribosomal RNA", at positions 524 to 776 of the family's 1533-position model. The record is from RNAcentral.
UACGUAGGGUCCGAGCGUUGUCCGGAAUUAUUGGGCGUAAAGGGCUCGUAGGCGGUCUGUUGCGUCGGGAGUGAAAACUUACAGCUUAACUGUGAGCGUGCUUUCGAUACGGGCAGACUUGAGGCAUUCAGGGGAGAACGGAAUUCCUGGUGUAGCGGUGAAAUGCGCAGAUAUCAGGAAGAACACCUAUGGCGAAGGCAGCUCUCUGGGACGGUACUGACGCUGAGACGCGAAAGCGUGGGGAGCGAACAGG